RNAcentral lists this long non-coding RNA (226 nucleotides) under Elaeis guineensis (African oil palm). RNAcentral describes it as "long non-coding RNA (EGUI_LNC027255)". Lineage: Eukaryota; Viridiplantae; Streptophyta; Magnoliopsida; Arecales; Arecaceae. The record is from RNAcentral.
CAGUAAACAUCACCUUCUCCUUUUACUCUUUUGGAAUAUUUCCCGAGUUAAAGCAGUCUCCUUUAAAUUUCUGGGAUACUUUUCAACAUCUCCUCCUUCUUUAUACUUUUAACACAUAUAUGGACACGUUUUAUGUCUCUUUACCCUCCCCACCCGACUUGCUAUCAGCAUCAACGACCACACAUUAAUUUCCCAUGCCUCCUCCCCUCCGUGAAUCCUGUAGACC